This is a long non-coding RNA of Vespula vulgaris, 419 nucleotides long. RefSeq lists it as uncharacterized. Lineage: Eukaryota; Metazoa; Arthropoda; Insecta; Hymenoptera; Vespidae. The record is from RefSeq and is a predicted model, not a curated record. The transcript has 2 exons.
AUAUAUAUAAUACACAUCAUAUAUAUAAUUUAAUCAUAUAUAAAACAUUACAUAUGUAUAUAUAUCCUUGCAUGAUAUAUCUUAAUAUUAUAUCGAGAUCAAUAAACAAAUAAACAUCAUUAAUCUAGUAUUAGAUCUCAUGUGUUGAUAGGUUAAGAAUUAUACCCAGGAUUUCAUAUCACUCUAUAUAUUCAUUAGGUUAUGAUAUUUGCAACAUACAUUAUUAUUUAAUAUAUUAUUAUACUCCUACACAUUACAGAAAUCAAAUACGAGAAUAGGAACCAACCUAUAUGUUUUAUAAAAUUAUUUUAACAAUAAAAUUGAACGUAUAUUAGGCACUGUAUAUAUAAAAAUAUAUUGUUCGUCAUUGUGUGCAAAUGAAUAAGGAUAAUCAAAUAUAUAAUGUAGAAUUAAUUGCA